AUUGAACGCUGGCGGCAGGCCUAACACAUGCAAGUCGAGCGGAUGAAGGGAGCUUGCUCCUGGAUUCAGCGGCGGACGGGUGAGUAAUGCCUAGGAAUCUGCCUGGUAGUGGGGGAUAACGUCCGGAAACGGGCGCUAAUACCGCAUACGUCCUGAGGGAGAAAGUGGGGGAUCUUCGGACCUCACGCUAUCAGAUGAGCCUAGGUCGGAUUAGCUAGUUGGUGGGGUAAAGGCCUACCAAGGCGACGAUCCGUAACUGGUCUGAGAGGAUGAUCAGUCACACUGGAACUGAGACACGGUCCAGACUCCUACGGGAGGCAGCAGUGGGGAAUAUUGGACAAUGGGCGAAAGCCUGAUCCAGCCAUGCCGCGUGUGUGAAGAAGGUCUUCGGAUUGUAAAGCACUUUAAGUUGGGAAGAAGGGCAGUAAGUUAAUACCUUGCUGUUUUGACGUUACCAACAGAAUAAGCACCGGCUAACUUCGU
Molecule: ribosomal RNA, 483 nt
Filed under: uncultured bacterium
Lineage: Bacteria
Description: partial 16S ribosomal RNA
Rfam family: Bacterial small subunit ribosomal RNA
Source: RNAcentral